Molecule: ribosomal RNA, 755 nt
Filed under: Eulophia parviflora
Lineage: Eukaryota; Viridiplantae; Streptophyta; Magnoliopsida; Asparagales; Orchidaceae
Description: eukaryotic LSU rRNA
Rfam family: 5.8S ribosomal RNA (bases 308-463)
Source: RNAcentral
GACUCGGCGAGAAGUCCAUUGAACCUUAUCAUUUAGAGGAAGGAGAAGUCGUAACAAGGUUUCCGUAGGUGAACCUGCGGAAGGAUCAUUGUCGAGACCGAAAUAAACAACGAGCGACUCGGAGAACCCGUGAAAAGACGUGCGGCGGCUGUCGCCCCCUCUCCUCUCGCGGGGGGCGGGGGGCGCGGCGGAGGACGGAUCAAAACACAAACCGGCGCAGCAUCGCGCCAAGGGAAAGCUGAAAGGCACGAGCCCCGCGUCGGGCUCGGUGGCGUGGAGUGCUGUUGCACGCCAUGCGGAUGGACACGACUCUCGGCAAUGGAUAUCUCGGCUCUCGCAUCGAUGAAGAGCGCAGCGAAAUGCGAUACGUGGUGCGAAUUGCAGAAUCCCGCGAACCAUCGAGUCUUUGAACGCAAGUUGCGCCUGAGGCCAGCCGGCCGAGGGCACGUCCGCCUGGGCGUCAGGCUUCGCGUCGCUCCGCGCCUGCGCCGUUCCGCCAGACGGGGCAGGCUCGGAUGUGCAGGGUGGCCCGUCGUGCCGGUCGGUGCGGCGGGCUGAAGAGCGGGCUACGUCUCGCCGGCCACGAACAACAAGGGGUGGGUGAAAGCUGUGAGCGCAGCCCGCGUUGUCUCGUGCUGGCCCGAGAGAUGGAUUGUGCCCUCGAGGUGAUCCCGACCAAUGCGCCGGCCCGGAUGCGUCGGCUUUGGAAUGCGACCCCAGGAUGGGCGAGGCCACCCGCCGAGUUUAAGCAUAUC